UCCACCUUCAGCAGAGCUUGCUGCCUUAGGCCAGGUGAACAGACCUGGCGUCUGCAAACUCGUGUUUCUUGAUGCGCCGGCGGGGCUGUAUUGGCAGUGCCGGGCUGCCCGUCUGCCGCAGCUCCCACGCUGCUGCUCAGGUGUCACCACCGAGGCCGGAGCUGGAUGGGAUCGUCUCUCCGAAGGCUGGUUGAGGACACUCGGCAGGUUGAAGCACUGGCUCUAGGGCUUGUCUCCCAGGUUUGCUCCCUUCUCUGGUAAGAUUCAUUUGUUGGCCCAGGACUGUCAAACAGACAUGAAGGGCAAGCAAAAUAUUUGAUUUCCACUCUCUGAGCUGGGAGCAACUUCCAGACCUACCCUUUAGCUUGUGGUUCAGGUUAAAAUAGGUUUCCAUCCAUAUCCUCUCUGAUCUGUCUCCAGUGAGUGCUCUUAAUCAGCAAGGGUGUUUUCUGUGCUGUUCGUAAAAGCGAUUGCACUGGGCCUGAAAAGAGAUAAACAAAUUCAGUCUUUACCAAAGUAUUCCUAGAAGCAUUCUGGGAGACAUGGCCAAGGGGGGUAUAAGUGCACACGUACACUCUUUAGACAUUUCAGAAGUCUAUGUUACUGUGAAAUGAUUUUAAUGUAGCCCAGAGCAUAAAAGCUGUUUGAAAGGUGUCAGCACUGUGCGUGGACUGGCUGGAACUGAGCAGGGGUUAUGGGCUGAAUGGGUGCCAGGGUGGACUUGCACAUUUAAUAGAUAAAAGCCUGUGUGUGAUAGCAGGAGAUUAUAAUGGUUUCCAUUUCUGCAGAUCACCACUCUUUAGAAACCAGGGCUUCUUGAUAGCUGUACCUAUUUUUGUAGCACUGUCAGACCUAUCUAUUCAACAGGUUCCCUUUCUAUAGUAUGUUCUACAAGUGCAGAAGAAAAAGGGGUCCCUAUCCCAAAAGCUGCUGUCAUCUAAGUAAGAGUGGAAGACAAGGGAGUGCAAAGAAAACCAUGUUGAUCAGUGUGAUGAGCAGCCACUGUCAAGCUCUUGAGGGCAUCACAGUGUUAAAAAGAGCAUCUGUAGCAGAACAAGGAGGCACCUUUGCAAGUACUUAUAGGGAGUUCUCCUAAGCAGGAGUUUACUGUCCAGAAAAUAUGCUUUCUUGAAAACUUAAUAGCGAGUAACAAAGACUGCUGUAGUGGCCCAGCCAUUAGAGCUGCUGCUUUUAAUAAAUGACAGUAUGUCAUGAAGGACAUUGAAAGCAAAGUCAAGCAACUUAUGCUUGAUGCUGAAGGGGAGGAGAUGUCAGAAGAGGCAUGCAAAAAGAGGAGUAUGUGUCAAAAUGCUGGUGAGGAAACUCUGCAGCAGGCUGCUGGCUUGCUGUGAGCAAAGCAAGUAAAGCUGGUCAUCUAACCAGGAUGUCAGAUGGUGAGAGUUCAGCCAAGAGGGAAAGGCUGUCACUUCAUGAUGCUAUGCUGAAAAAUUUCAAGAGAAUUAAGCCUCUUUUUGGGUGAGGGGAGUCAUAUACUGGGCAUUAGGAGACAUUGGAGAACAUGAUGGGUUGUGGAUGUGAGUGACUUACACAGUCAUGUUGUCAGUAAUGAAAGAGGAUGGGGAUAAAUGGAGGUGUGGUUAGGAAGGAGCUUUGUUUUAGCCAGGAAGAACUUGAAUUAAAAGCAGAUCUAAAUAAGAGAUCACAUUAGAGAAUGAUGCAGCGCUUUUUAUUUGUAUAGAAGAGAGAUCUGGAAUAGAACAGUGAACAGUACAGUUACCUCUGGUGGCAGUCACUGAGUUGGUGUGUGGAGAUUUUUUUGCUGGAAAUGAGAUGAAAGGAGAAAAGAGGUCCAGAACUGUGCAUGUUCAAGGUCUGGUGAGGAUAACUCCUUAGAGAGAACAUGCUAAAAGCAAUUGCUGGGAGAUGAGAGAGGGGUCGGGGGAUCACAGAGGCCAGAGAACAUGAUUUCUAGAAGAGUGUGGUCAACCAUGCUAAAAGUAAAUGAAGAAGGUUUAGAUGAAGUGUCUGACUGAAGUCUGGACAAGGUGAAGAUAGAAGAGACUUCAGCCAGAGAAGAUUCAGUAAGAUGUGAGAGAGAAACUGCUGUCUAUACUGUCUUGAUGUUCCUCUCCAACAAUGAGCUACAAGCGGGAGCAGUGGCUGGGAGGGCAAGAGGAGAGUCGCAGACUUUGCACUUUAAAGGAAGGAGCUGCUAAAGGAUGUUGGUGAGGGGAAAACUGGAGAAGAAUAAGAGCUUAAAUAAGGCUUAAGGUAAAUCAGAAUAAAAGUGGGUGAGGGAAAUUGUGAGAUGGCACUGAGAUGCUGUUGGAAGAAGGAACAAACUGGGGCACUAUUGCAGAAAUGAGGAAAACUAGCCAGCUUGUGUUUCUUGGGAGAAGCUGCUGAGAUCCUGUGCAUGGGAGAACAAGGGAGGCUGGAGGAGUCAGAAAUUGCAUCAGCCAGAGCUGCAGAUACACUUUUUCAAACUCAGCUGGAUCUUAGAGCUGCUUAGUUGGGAAGCUGAUGGGAAAGAGCAGUGGAAUGAAUGGAUCUGUGGUUGUGUUACUAGUUUCAGCAAACAAAAUGAGACGAGCAGUCAGCAGGUCGGACUUUGGGAAGGCAGUCUAGACUGGGCUGAAAUGAAGCUUGACAGAAAAUCGGCAAUUUUCAAAUAGAAGAAAGGACAGGGAGGAGAGGUUUGCAGAGGAGGAAAAGCCUCGUUGAAUUCUCCAGAUGAGGUGAUCAGAGGGGGGAUUUGUGCAAUGGAGAGGUGAGAGAGAGAAGUGCUAGCAACAUACCCAAUUAGCAGUUUUGGAGUGACUGAAAGAGUUGCACAAGGGCUGCAGAUCAGCUGCACAAAGAUGAGGAAAUGCAAGCGUAAGAAACUGGCUGGGCUGUCAAGAGGUCGCCAAGGACAGAUGUGGGAAUCGCAGAGGAGAAAGAGCUACAACUCAAGUGCCGAGCAGGAGGAUGGGAAGAGCCUGGGCAGACCAUGGAUGAAGCAAAUAAGAGGAGAGAAAUGAUUUGAAAGCAGCAGGGACAGGAGGGAGCCCUGACCUCUUCCACCAUGCCUGUCCCAGAGCAGUUCAGUGGAGGAAGGAUGCCCCAAAGAGCAAGGGAGCACCGGCGAGGUCCAGGGAGCUGCCAGCUGGACCGGGCUGUGGGCAGCUGGGUGAACAUGGAGCCAUGAAACAGCCAGGGGUCGGGGAGGGGAGAAAUCUAAAGUGGUGGCACCAGAAAGCAGGUAGAGGUGUGGACGGGGAUAUCUGGGUGGAGCGGGUGGUACGCUGGGAGGACGGGCCUGGAUCCAGGGUCGUCAAAGGGAAGGACAGAAGAGCAUGGUGGAAAAGGAUAGGCUUGGCAUGGAAAAUAGGAGAGGGCAAGAUAACGGGACAGAUGCUGCGAUGAACAAAGGGUGAGGUCAGAGCGACAGCUAAGUGGCAGACAGACAAAUGUACAAAAACAGAAAACAAGAGGCAGCUCCUGCCUGCGGUUUUUAGGUACAGCGUUUGGCUGACUGCAAUCACAAGUGAUUGAUUACAGAAUUAGACUUGUGCUAUUUUGGCCCUGUGACUUCAGAUGCUGUAAUCUAAGCCCACUGUGUGUUUAUCCUUGCAUUGCGGAUAACUGUUUAGGCACAGGGAUGAUUUUGGGGGAGACAUGUCAGAAAGCUUUUGCCCAAACUGCGUCUGUAAUCCUGCCACUCCUCUCAUCAAUCAUCAAGCUAAUAUAAAACUGGCAGCGUGCUUCCUGCUCGAGUGUUGUGCAUUUCCAAAGGCAAAGUGCACUAUUGUUUAAUAGCCAAUUAUUCACUGGCAUUGAUAAACAGGCUUUGCUCGCGAUUACUGCAGCAAUUACUCACUUGCCUAAUUUAGACAUGAGGAAAAAUUAAUUCAGGCUUCCAGUUGAUCAUUUAUAUCUCUGGCUGCUGUAAUACACAUAGCAGUGUACUGAAAACAGCUCCACCAUAAAGGAAACUGAUCUGCUCAAAUUGAUAACAGAUUUUACUGUGGCUCUGUCGCUGUGAGAGGCAUGACCGAGUCCGGGCUGAAGGCCUGUGGAUGAGGGGGGUUUGGGGGCUUUUCUUUUGUGCUUUUGGGGGCAUAAAAAUAUGAAAAUCCUUCUCUUAUACCUUAAAUUGAAAACAGCAGUUCAGAGGGGAGGAUGGUGCUGUGGUCAGAAGGCAGCUCAAUGUACAGCUAAACAAGCAAAUAAAAUAGUAGGAUGUUUAAGUAAAGCGACCUCACCUUCCCCCAGAUGACCCCUCAAGUGCUGAUGGACCUGUCUCCAAGCAGCAAAGUCCAAGGCAUUCAAGGAGGGCUCGUGGGGCGAUGCGGGAGGACCCUGGCUGUCCGGUUCAGAGGGAUGCUGCGGAGGAGGUAUAUAAAAUAGCUAACAGCUUUAGUAACGGUGAGUUGCAGGCAUCAUAUUUACUCUUUCUCGUGACUGGGGAGCAGUGAGAUGGAAAGGCAUCCGUGUGGAACUGGGACAAGGAAAAGCUGCUUUUCUUUUCUUUUUCUUAAUUAUUAUUAAAAUAACUCUGCAAACCGGCCUUCUGUUCCAAUGGACACACCUCUGUGGUAACUGUAAGCUCAAGUCCUCAGUACCCAAGAGAGAAGCACUGGUGCGUAACCCCUCCAGGUUUUCUCUCCCCCUUCCUGGUGUGGUUUCACUUUCCAGGGCUAUCUUGGAGCUUGCUGCUGGCAAGUGUUCAGCUGGUUUCAAAGAACAGCAGGAAGAGCAUUUCUUUAAAUUACGCCAGCGCGAGCCCGAUAGCGCAUUCCUCGUCAGCACGGCUCAUGCGCAAGGUAAAAUCGCCUCCGUAUCUGGCGAGGAGCGUGUGCGGGGCGACGGGGCCCGGCGCGGCGCGCUGAAGUGCCCCUUCGCCUCCAAAGCCGGCUCGGGUCACCUGCGGACGCUCGUCUCUCCUCUGAAUUCUCGUGUCUUCCCCGAGCUGCCUCGCUGCCGUGACCUUUCCCGGCGCAGGGCUUGCGUGACCAAGGUGCGUCCCUGCAGGCAGCUCUCGCCCGGAGGAGCGCCUUGCGCGGUGCCUGUGCCCUGGCGAGCCCGGAGCGGGGCUGCGGCAGCUCCCUGUGUUCAAAGCAGGCUUCGUGGGUGUAACUUGUAGGAAAACUGAAAACCAGCAAAAUCUGUCUCCUUUAGGACUCUGGCUGACAUCAUGGCAGCCAGGAGCAUCUAGCUGAGGUGGUGACAUGCCAAGGUGGGAGCGAAGAUGAUGCUGGUCCCUUACCAAACUUAAGUAUUAGUCAAGCGGGGGACAGACCAGGGCUGUUAGCUUGUCUAGAGCGAUGCUGGUUUCACCGGGCUGCACUAGCACUGGCGUGCCCGAGCCACACAGUGGGGCAGGACGGGCUCUCGGCGUGUGACAGCUGAAGGUUGGCCCUGGUGACAGCAGCAGGCACAGGGGCUCCACGGGAGCUCCUGCCUGCUAACCCCUGCCCGCAUGUCAUGGGCGUCUAAUGCAGCUAUGGGAAAUGUGCACUGGGUAGGUGGGAAACUCCACGGUACCCGGGGAUCCCCGGACUGGGGUGUUUUGCUCCAGGUGUGGUGGCAUCUCCCAGUGCUGACCGCUGCCCCGUAACGGGGCUGACCGCAGGAAAAGAACAAAACUAUCAUUUGGAGUUCAUCUUAUCUGGGAGUAUCAUGCACGCUCAGGAACUGUGUAAUUCGGUUGCCCUGCUUAGCCAAAAGCUAAAUAGUUUCUAAAGUUUAUUUCCUGUCUUUAUAGCAACUGUCUGUCUCUGUAUUUAUUUUCGCUGUGAGCUACUGGUGAGCUAAAAAUAAGUUUUGGGGCUAUUAUUGUUGCGGAUUGUACAACAAUCGUGGGCUGAAGCCGGGCCGGUUUGGGAGCGAAGAAUGUCCCCGGCCAGCCUCCCCGGACGGGCUGCCAUAAUUCUUGUGUUAUACUGAAGCACUUUGUCGCUCGCGGCAGAGAAGAGCUGACGUCUCGCAUUGUUGUUACCUUGAGAGGGCAGUUAUCGCAGCUAAUCCACCCUCCAAGGCUUUUCCUCAGGAUAAUUAUUGUUUCAGUGAUUCAUCUUGCAGACCCUGCCCUUCCUUAUUCGCACAAAAUAUCCUGCUCCCUGCAAUAUUUCUGGGUCAGGCUCGUGCCGCACAUGUGACUUCCCCCCGGGCCCACGGACAAGCAGCGAUGGAUUAAAGGUCAGCGGUCCCGGGCGGGCGCAUGCCGCGGGGCGCCAGGGGAUGCGGUCGGCGGGCGCGGGGCCGUGCUCGGUGGUGUCCCGCGGGGGGAGCGGUGCCGCUGUUGUUAUGCUGGAAAAUUUCACUGCUCCUGUCUUCAGUGGAAAACAUUAUCACCGGCACAUCCUGGCGUGUAACUUGCCUCAUUUAUUAUUGUCCCGCGCCGGCUUAGUGCUUAUGGUGCAGUUCUAAGGUACUUAGAGGGUUGUGGUUUUUCAAGGAAACAUAACUCGUGGGGGGGUUUUGGGGGAGAGGAAGAAUCCUGGAAGUUUUUGGCACAAAUGGAGUCAAAUUUUACUGAGCAUAAAAAAUGUAACGUGCACGGGUCUGCGUGACCUGGGGCCGGUGCGGCCACUCCUGGAGGCGGCUCGGGACUCCCCACCGGGCCGGGCCAGGCUGCUCUGCCCCAAGCCAUUUCCAGGCUGAGCCGUGGGCUGCUACCGCCGAGCCUGCUCGAUCGUCCUUCAGCCAGUCUGGAGUGCUGCGAAGGAAACCUAGGUCUUGAGUAAAUCCUGUCCGGGGGUGGGGAAAAUAAGGGAGAAAAGAGCAAGCUUCAGACCCGAUGUUGUGCUCACACUGCGAGGGUGCAGCGAAGGUGCCCGCGGCCACGUCUGCUCCAGCAGCCCCUCCGAGGGGCACACGGCUGUGUGCGCGCAGGUGCGGUGAGAAACCCCUCUUGCUGUAGCCAGCCUCUCCUUUGGCAUAGACUGGCCAGCCGAGCUGGAGCUUUUCCAGCACUGAAGAUCUCCGUGUAGACUCCUCGAGCAACUGAGAAGUCAUCGCCCUUCUGGGGCACUUGCUGGUGCGGUUCCCGGUCAGCGUGAAGCUGGGUCUGCGUUAGCUGGCUUCAGCAUGUGCCUUUUUCUGUGUCCUUUUAACCAAAUUCAUCUGGUGAGCUCCAAAGUGAUGCCCUGCCACGCACAGCCUUGCAUAUUAAGGCUCCAUUUGACUCUAUACUUCUAACUUUUCUUCCUUUCCUCCUAUGUUUUAAUUCUUUGUGGGUUUUGUGUGUUCUUGGGGGGGGGGGGGGGGUUUGGUUUUCUUGUUUAAGUUGGCAAUGUAUUUCAGUGUUGCAGUAUGAGCAUGCUCAUGCUGUAGAACACUUCCUGUGAACCUCUGGAUCCAGGUGGAGCAGGAUCGCUGUCUUCAAACACGGGUGUAUAGCUUUCGGUAUCAAGAAAUGACAGCCAGCACACCCAGUGUUGACACACAAACUGAAAACCGGCAUGAGCACCAGCCAAAACAAACUGGUCACGCGCUCCACAGCAAGCCCUGGAGGGCUGUCCUACAGCAAGCGCCGGCCGGGAAAUCGGGGCAGUUAUGGAGCAACACUGCAGAGAGCAGUUCCUGGUGGAAGCAAGUGCUUCUUUCAGCAAACACAGUGUUGACAGCAGUUUCUCUUGGUUGCACAGUGGCUGAAAUGAGACCAUCCACACUGUGCAGAAGAAUGUGUAAAGAUUGUUGGGCCUUUUGCAGUAUCUCCAACUUGACUUCAGGAAGACAAACACAAUAUAAAUGUUGUUCCCACUGCUCCCAGUUUGAACAUCAAAUGGCAUCAGGCUGGCUAUCAGCUAAUUACCCAUGUAUGCCAAUGAGGGGGCAUAAUGGAAAAAGUUUGCAUGGCAGAUAUGUCAGAUGAUGAACGUGUUUGGUGCUGGACAGUUAAGGCCUGUUGCUUGCACUGCAUCUGGUGAUGGUAGCAUUACAGCCUGGAACAAGCAGCUAUUGGCAGGAGGAGCCAUUUACAUACAAAUGAUUCCAAGGCUGAAUCAGGUUUCACAUGUGACAGCACUUCAGGAUACUAGCAUUAAUAUAUUACUCUCUUCACCUAGCAAUUUAUGGCUAGUUGCUGGGAAGGCUGAGAACACAGGUGCAUCUCCAAAGGAUUCUUUGUGUUGUCACCUCAUCCUUGGACCUCUGACUACACAUAUGGGAAAAAAGCAAAAUCCUGUGCUUUGCUGAGCAGAUGCCAUUUACUUGUGGACCCUACAGAUGGUCAAGUGUGAUCCUAAAAGAGACAAGUGCUUUAUUCUCCCAGCUGAUUUUGUCCACUUUGCACAGAACGCAACUGAAGCUGAAGUAUCAGAACAAACUUAAGUAUCAAGAAACCAUGGCUUGGAAGAAAUUAGAAGUCAAUACUGCCUGCUCAUGCACUGAAUGAAGCACAUCUCCUGUGGAAAAGCAAAGUAUGUGAUCAUAAUUAAUAAUUUUUAAUAUGAAGAAAGGACCAAACUAAGGUGAAUUCUAGCAUGUUCCUGUAUGUGAACUUGACUUCACAACCUUACUAUUAAGCCAGCUCCAUAUAAUCGAUGCAUUAUCAUUGAUUACUUCUGGAAGUAGGACUUCAGAUGAAUGAUGCAUAUUCUAAACUUAAUCCUUCCUAAGCUAUUCAAAAUUAUUUCAGUAGUUUAUAAGUUAAAGCUUGAUUCUCGCUAUAUCUAUUAUGAGCAACUUUUCUCCAAUGAGAUAUGCACAUUAUUUUUAGAAAUAGUUUAGUAUUUGAUAUAGACAAAAAACAGAUCUGUAUUAGUGUCCAAAUUAGUGCAUAAUCAAGGUGUUCAAGAACAGAAACCAGGAUGUCUAUUACCUACCACUGCAUCACUACAGAACAGCAAUAUACCUACAUAAUUUCAUUUGACAAAGAUUUAAAAAAAAUACUCUGGAAUUUUUUAACCUUUCAUAAAUACUUGAAGUGUAUGUACACACAUACACAUAUAGAUACAAAACUUUGGAGGUACAGACUGUUGAAAACGUAGUGCUAAACCUAGUUAGUGUUCAGCAUUCAAACCCUAAACUUAUCCCUUGCAGACAUGUUAGUUCUGAAUCCUGUUAAUUGAGGUAUACCACAUAACAGAAGGAACUGAUUUUCUAAUUUCUGGUUUAGCAUACAGUAUCAAUGCUGGCAAAAAACCCUAGCAUUAGAUAACACACUGUAGUGAGAAAAAUGACUACACUAAAAUGCUGUCCAAUUCUCACAAAGUCUUUUGAGUAUAGGUUUCCAUUAGUUCACUGGCAGUAUAAAUGUAUAUAUAAGCCUAUUGCUGUUUAGCUACAAUUUCAAAUGCCCCAAAGAUCUCAAUGCCUUUCUCAAAGGAAAUCCUCAUUUUGGUCACGUGUCCCUGCUUGAAAUGUACAUUUAACCCCUAGCUCUGUGUCUCUCAGGACAUGCUACUAGUAAGUGGGAUAUGCUGUUUUAUUCCUACAAAGGAGUUGAAUCUUUCAGAAUGUAGAUGACUGAGAAAAGUGGAAGAAACAUGGGAUUUUUUUUUGAAGAUGAACAGUUACUGAUAACAUUUAAAUUUACCAAAACGUUUACCAAAUUUGUGUUCUUCCAUAGAACAGCAGCUGAUUAUGAAAGCCAUCCUACCUAUUAGCAGAACAUGUUAUGCUGACAACUUCUUAUGCAUGAAGCUUGCAUAUCUGUAUAAUUAGUAUUUAUAUAAAUUCAGCAAAUUAUUAAGUUAGUGUUCAUAAAAAAGCAAUGUUUUCAAGAGUGUUGUUGUUAAUUGGCAACAUAAUUAAACUUCUAUUGCCUGUAAUAAAUACUGGAAGCCUUUUCAUAUUUUGCAAAUAAAAUAUUUCCACUAGUAACACUAGAGGAAAACAAAGAAGGCUAUCAGAGGUAAAGUGAAAAUAAAGAUAUUGCUUUUUAUUAGUGGUAAAAAAAUAAAGUAACUUGAUGUUUUGUCAAUGCUUCUUUUUGCAAAUUCUCUUAUAUUACUAUGCAAUAUAAGUUCCUAACACAACCCAUAUAAAUUGAGGCUGCAUUUUUAAGUUAGAGUAUCACCACUGGAAAAGAAAUACCUUCAAGAAUUUUACAAAAAUAGAAAAUAUAAUAUGGCUAUUAAGUCCCUCUUCAAGAAGAUAAAGUAUUAUUAAAUCUAUUACUAUUAAAAGUUGACUACACUGACAAAACUGCAGCAAGUUUGGAACAACAACUGUAAAUAAUUCCUUGGGUAAGUUUAGACUAUUUAGCAACUGAGUGUUGCUGUACAUGGAACAAAUCAAAUUUGACCAUAGGAGCUUUAUUAGUAAACAACUGUUUCAGUGAAGCACUCCAGCAGUUCUCCACUAUGGAAACAGAAAGAGGGUGACCUAUUUAUGAAAUACUGUUUUUACACUAAUUAUGGUAAUUUAAAGAAAUUUUACUGUUUCUGAAAGAAGAGAUUCAAUUUCUCAACAAUUCUCAGCCAUAAAUUAAAUUUGAUCCAAUAUUACAAUUAAGCAUCACUCUGCAGGACUUCUAUGUACCUUUCUAACUGAAGCAUCUUUUCCAUGCCAGUUCAUUUAAGACUUAGGUCACUGUGAGAAAAUCAUCUUACUGAAAUAGUACUGUUAAGAAAGAGUGGCAUAAAACAUGCAGAAAAGGCAAAUUUGCAAGUGAGGACUAUUAUUAACCUUGAACAUUGGGUUGAGUUUUUACUCCUAGAAGCAGCAAGUCUUAAAUGUAAUGUGACUGAACAAUCUUCCUGUAAAACUCUGCUGUGCCAGACAGAGAACCACCAUACACAUGCUAAUAUAUAUAUAUAUAUAUAUCAAUAAUGGACUUGAAGCUGUGCUAACCAUAAUGCAAUGUAAUGUCAGUGUUUAGAGUUAUGAUCAGUACAGCAUAUACUGAC
Dromaius novaehollandiae (emu) is the source of this 10802-nucleotide long non-coding RNA. RefSeq lists it as uncharacterized. NCBI's taxonomy places the organism in Eukaryota, Metazoa, Chordata, Aves, Casuariiformes, Dromaiidae. The record is from RefSeq and is a predicted model, not a curated record. The transcript has 8 exons.